GUGAAUCAUCGAAUUUUUGAACGCAAAUUGCGCUUCCUAGUAUCCCGGGAAGUAUGCCUGUUUGAGGGUCAGUAUUAACAAAAAAAUCGGAGUUGUUGCAAAUUGUGACGUGUCUGGAGUUUGGGCUAUCUUAACUGUUUUGGUUAAGGGGGUUAAAAUUGAACUUUUUUGCGCAUUUUUAGACGUAGAUAAAUUUUUUUUUUAUUAGUGUAUUCGUAAUGU
RNAcentral lists this unclassified non-coding RNA (222 nucleotides) under Glomeraceae sp. RNAcentral's name for it is "partial contains 5.8S ribosomal RNA and internal transcribed spacer 2". The stretch from base 1 to 71 matches the Rfam family "5.8S ribosomal RNA", at positions 84 to 154 of the family's 154-position model. Lineage: Eukaryota; Fungi; Glomeromycota; Glomeromycetes; Glomerales; Glomeraceae. The record is from RNAcentral.